GUCACCAAUCUUGUGCAACUCUUUGGCUUCAGUUGUAUCUUAUGCAGGUAUAAACAAAAACUCCAUCGAAGUUGUUUGUUAACAAUUAUCAACAGGACAACAACUAUGGAGAAUGUAAUAUGUUCAAAAGCCAGAAACUGUGGGUUUUCUUUUUGCCGCUAAAUUUGAUUUUGUUUCCCUAAAUGGUUGUGUAGCUUGCUUAGCUGUUUAACCUUCGUUCAUGCACAAAAUAAUUCUUGCAUAAACUACAAAAUCCCAUGAGCGGUACCACCAGGAGACACGUACACCCAUACACAAUAUUUAAAUUUCAUAUGGUCUUACUUCAAAAUAGGAGAACUCCCUCUGUCUCUUUCAUUCUCUCUCCUUACAUGAUAGUGAAUUGGUGUGCUAAAAUGCAAUCACAGCCUUUCCAGUGUUGCCUUUAGAUACAACUUGAUAAUCUAGGCUUUUUAAGACAUAGCAUUUGUUUCUAUAUUCAGAAUGUUGUCAUAUAAGGAUAUUCUAUCAAAUGAAAUUCCAUUAUUAGGUUCACUAAAAAUUCCGAAGCAACAUUGGUAACCCAUUAUUAUGCAGACAGCUGCAUAAAUGGCAUCUAUCAAGAAGGAUAAGUUGGUAAGAGCUUUUGUGCAUGCAACAAAAGCAUGCAGUUUGCAACAUCUUUUUUCUUUUCUUUUUUUUUUUUUUUUUUUUUUUUUUUUUUUUUUGGGGGUUAAAGGGCAUUUAAUAAUUAUGCUUUGUCAACUUUUUUUUUUUUUUUUUUUUUUUUUUUUUUUUUUUUUUUUUUUUUUUUUAUGGGGCCUAAAGGUGUAAAUGAAGAAUUAGAAAAAUGUUGCUAAAUGGGAAACAUCAAGAGGAGCGUAAUUCUGAUAAGUCAUUCUGAUCUGCAAAGAAUAGAAAUAGUACCAUAGGCACUGUUAGCAGUUGCUGCAGCUGCAGAAAGUAAGCUAUCAUAGCAAUCUCUCAUGUCCUCCAUGUCCUAAGAAAAAAGAAAAUCAGCUAGGUUAUUGGCACUGCUUGAGCAGUCAGUACAGUAGAACUACAAAACGCGAGCGACCAAAAAACAGAUAAUUAAUUUUUAAUCAUCACUAGAUACAAUAAUAAGCCACCAACACACUUCUAGCUAAUAGUUCUGAAUAAUGGUUAAUUACAGCAAGCAAUCAUGACUCUUCCAAUUAUACCUAGGAAACAAAACCAACGAAAUUAGUGAGCAAUCAAUCAUUUCAAUACUUUUCAUAGCACUGACCAAAUUAGAAGUUAUCUAUUUGAACAAAUCAUAGAAAAGAGAUUAAGCAAAAUAAAAUUUUUCAAAAACAGAAAAGAAUUUUAUCAAGCACUAAGAAUUCUGUACUCUAACAAGGUCCCUGCUUAUACUGAACAAAGAGUGACACGCGAACAUCAAGUUUGGUAUCUGAGAAAUCGCUUCGCUAGAAAAUGAAGAAAGCGAGAACAAGAGGUGAUGCCUGUUGUUAAAAAAUUCAAAUCUCUUUUCGUUUGAGCAACCAAACAUGGAGAUGGAGGUGUACCUGAGAAGCCUUAUCAAGCUCGUUGAACAAAGUCAAAGGGCGAUAUUCUCUUCGGUCCUUGUGGUCACCAUGUCGAAGUGCGAAUCCUCGCAAUUUCCUGAAAGACGUUCUCAUUUUCUUUCCUUUCCUUUCCUUUCUCGGAAAGAUAAAGAGAAUCAGAUUGAAAUGGAAGAAAUGAUGGAGAAGCUGAAAUUGAAAGGAAUUGUUAUGAAUCAACGAAAAAUGGCAAUAUCUUCCUCAGGCUACAUACAUUCUCUCUCUCUCUCUCUCUCUCUCCCCCUGGUUACGUCACCAGCAAAUAUAAGAUCCCUGACCCAGCAAAUAUAUAAAUCUCACCAUAUUUUCUCAUUUAAAUUAAAUUUAAAAAUUUUUGGACAAUUGUUGCUUCUUGACUUCCUUGUUUCUUCCUUCUCUUAUCUUCUUCUUCUGCAUGUUUUUUCUUUUGCUUUUUCUUUUUCUUGUUUUUUCUUAAAAGUAGUGUGUAUAUAUAUAUAUAUAUAUAUAUAAUUAUGGUCCUUGGUCGAAUUAGAAUUCACCACCUCUACUUAGAGGAAUGCUAUAAGUUACCGACUUACUGCAGUUAUUACUACUAUUAAUGAGAGAUCUUAGUGAAACGGUGCGGCAUGGAUAAGGUUUUGGAUUUUUUUUUUUUUUUUUUUUGUGAAAUUUUAAAAGUAUAUUAUUGUUUGGCUAAAUAAAUAUUUGAAUCUAUUUCAAAAAAAUAAAUAAAUAUUUAAACAUAAUAUAAUUUGUCAUAAAAUCUAAUGUUGAUUAAAAUUAGAGUAAUGUUGGUAAUUUUCAAAAUCCUUAGGUAAUAUUUUUUUUUUUUUUUUGUCUUUUUUGAGGGUAGGUAAUAUAAUUUCUUUUUGUCAAAGGCUAUUUUCAACAUAGAUAAAGAAAAUCAUGAGGGAAUAUUACCUGUUUUUUUUUUUUUCUUUACUUAUAAGUCAAACUAAACAUUUUUAUAAAUAUUUCUUACUGUUCAUAAAAAUUUUACCAAUUCGAUUAUUUAAUAUAAGAGUUGUCUAUAUUGUAUAUAUGUUUCACUGUAUUAUUGUGGUUCCUUGAAUUUUUCAAUGAAUAAAAAAUAUUGAUGCUUAAUAUAUUUGUACAAUGACAAUUUGAUGUGUGGCAAAUUUGAUAUUUUACAUAUUUUUUUAAUAUAAAUUAUUGAUUUUUACAAUUUUAUUAAUUAGAUAAAUGUAAUUUAUAAAUUGGAAUAUCUAAUACAUGUAAUUUUACAAAUAAAAUUAAUGGUGCUAAUAUUUAAAAAAAAAAAAACAAAGUUAGGUCAGCUAUUAGCGAAGCUAACGUGUAAUGUAAUUUAAUUCAUAAGUAACAAAAAUAAAUUAAUGCUGUUUGAUCAACAGAACAGAAUGAAGAAUUGACUUCCUUUUUUUUUUUUUUUUUUUUUUUCUUAUUGAGUUACAAAAUCUCUGACUCGUCCUUUAAUAAUGGUUUUGGACCUACCAGAACGGUUUUUUUUUUUUUUUUAAAUACUAGCAAAGGUAUCUUAAUAAAUCACCAUGAAUGUUAUUAGCCGGUCCAUUAAAAUUUUCCUCUACGCGUGGUCCCACACAUCCUAUUCAUCCUUACCUAUAGUGUUGAAAAUUAAAUUGGUGAUCAUGGAAUAUAUAUAUAUACAAACAAACGAAUUAUAAAAAAUAAAGACAACAUAAUACAAUUUUUAAGUUAUAGCUUAAUCAGGAUUAUGAUGUUUAAAUUAAUUAGUAAGUAGUAGUAUAUGAUUUAUUUUUGUGAUUCGAAGAAUAAAGAUCACAUUUAGACAUUAUUUAAUUUGUUUUAAAUGCUAAAAUAACAUUAAUUUGUUGAGUUGAUUUUUCUUAGUGAUUAAAAUAUGGAGGAUUAUUGAUUAAUUUUGUUUGUUUUUGAAUUCAAAAGCUUCAAAAUUCAGUUGUCGAAAUUAACAAAAACGGCAGAAGACCAGACGGAAAAUGAUAAAAGACCUACACUUUCUCUAGUCCUGAAAACGUGUUUUCCAGCCACUGAAGUAAUUUAUGUUCACAUCAUGAAAAGUAAUCCUUCCUAGUUAAUGCCUCUAACAGUAGGCAAUUGUUUUUUUUUUUUUUUUCAAUGUUUAUUCAUUAGCUGGUCAAAGUCAGUUCAAGAUGUAUAGAUUUUUCUUGCUUUUUCUUUUUCCCAUUUUUGUCACAAAUUCAAAUAUUGCAGCGUCUGUAUUUAGAAUUUUUUUCCAUUAGUAAAUAAAUAUUGAUUUUUAUUCCGAUAUACACAUUGCAUAUCCAUGUCUUUUUCAUGGAAAUAUUCAUAAUGUUAACUUGAAUAAUUAAGAAAGAUGUUUCAAUCAAAUCAAUUAUUGAUUCAGUUUUUUGUUGAAUAUUUGUGGGUAAACGCUGGGGUCCAUGACCUGAAGAGGUGGCAGAGAAAGCUCUUUUUCUUUAUUGUAUAUUGUCCGUGUAUGUAUAAAUAAAUAUUAAAUAUUAUGGUUAAUUAAAAAGAUCAUUAUAAUUUGAAUUGAAUAAUAAUUAUUCAUAAGUACAUGUUCCCAUGAAGAAAGGCGACUUAUCAGAGUAUAAAGGCUCUCAGUCAAGAGAAAGAUACGAAAAAAGAAGUUUCUGGCGAAAGGAGAUGUGGCGUGGGAAAGUUUGAGAAACAUACAGAGAAUGAAGUUGAUCAAAUGAGGACAACUCAAUUCCAACUUUCGGUAAAGGAAGUCAUCGAAAUAACAAUCAAACAAGCAACCCUGACCACUAUCUAAGACUUUCAAACCCUAAUUUCCUCAAGUCUCUCCAGACAUGCCGUCGGGCUGCAUAUCAAUCGUUGUUCUAACGUAAAAACUCAGACAACAAAAAUUGUGUACAUGCACAUGCAUAUCAACAGUGAAGAUGACCUUACGAAAUUUUUUUAAUGCUCUUGCUAUUGAACGUUCAUUCUACUUGAUAAAUACUUGUCACUGUACGCUGCAUCGAUUUUUUGCAUGUCUAAUGACCUAAAGACAGCGUUGCUCCGAGAAGUUAAAGUAUCAAUCUCAGAACAAAAUCGUGUGAAUUGAACAACACAUCCUUUGAAGAUGAUCUUCAAAAUGCCGACAAACCUCUACAAAAAUGAAUGCAACAUAUAAAAAACCAAAUGUAAAUUUAAAUUUUGACUCCGUAUAAAACAGGUCUGUAUCAGGUAAGCAAAUUUGAC
This 4691-nucleotide long non-coding RNA is filed under the name Jatropha curcas. RNAcentral describes it as "long non-coding RNA (JCUR_LNC003089)". Lineage: Eukaryota; Viridiplantae; Streptophyta; Magnoliopsida; Malpighiales; Euphorbiaceae. The record is from RNAcentral.